UACGUAGGCAGCGAGCGUUGUUCGGAAUUACUGGGCGUAAAGAGUGUGUAGGCGGUGCUCCCAGUCUGUUGUGAAAUCUCCCGGCUUAACUGGGAGGGUGCAGCGGAAACUAGAGUGCUAGAGGGUGGGAGAGGUAAGCGGAAUUCCUGGUGUAGCGGUGAAAUGCGCAGAUAUCAGGAAGAACACCUAUGGCGAAGGCAGCUCUCUGGGACGGUACUGACGCUGAGACGCGAAAGCGUGGGGAGCGAACAGG
RNAcentral lists this ribosomal RNA (253 nucleotides) under uncultured bacterium. RNAcentral's name for it is "partial 16S ribosomal RNA". It matches the Rfam family "Bacterial small subunit ribosomal RNA", at positions 524 to 776 of the family's 1533-position model. The record is from RNAcentral.